CAGCAGCCACGGUAAUACGGAGGGAGCUAGCGUUGUUCGGAAUUACUGGGCGUAAAGCGCACGUAGGCGGUUAUUCAAGUCAGAGGUGAAAGCCCGGGGCUCAACCCCGGAACUGCCUUCGAAACUAGAUGACUGGAAUCUUGGAGAGGUCAGUGGAAUUCCGAGUGUAGAGGUGAAAUUCGUAGAUAUUCGGAAGGACACCAGUGGCGAAGGCGACUGACUGGACAAGUAUUGACGCUGAGGUGCGAAAGCGUGGGGAGCAAACAGGAUUAGAGACCCCCGUAGUCCCUGUCUCUUAUAC
RNAcentral lists this ribosomal RNA (301 nucleotides) under uncultured bacterium. RNAcentral's name for it is "partial 16S ribosomal RNA". It matches the Rfam family "Bacterial small subunit ribosomal RNA", at positions 509 to 807 of the family's 1533-position model. The record is from RNAcentral.